RNAcentral lists this ribosomal RNA (2903 nucleotides) under Escherichia coli O157:H7 str. EDL933. RNAcentral describes it as "bacterial LSU rRNA". It matches the Rfam family "Bacterial large subunit ribosomal RNA". The record is from RNAcentral. Lineage: Bacteria; Pseudomonadati; Pseudomonadota; Gammaproteobacteria; Enterobacterales; Enterobacteriaceae.
GGUUAAGCGACUAAGCGUACACGGUGGAUGCCCUGGCAGUCAGAGGCGAUGAAGGACGUGCUAAUCUGCGAUAAGCGUCGGUAAGGUGAUAUGAACCGUUAUAACCGGCGAUUUCCGAAUGGGGAAACCCAGUGUGUUUCGACACACUAUCAUUAACUGAAUCCAUAGGUUAAUGAGGCGAACCGGGGGAACUGAAACAUCUAAGUACCCCGAGGAAAAGAAAUCAACCGAGAUUCCCCCAGUAGCGGCGAGCGAACGGGGAGGAGCCCAGAGCCUGAAUCAGUGUGUGUGUUAGUGGAAGCGUCUGGAAAGGCGCGCGAUACAGGGUGACAGCCCCGUACACAAAAAUGCACAUGCUGUGAGCUCGAUGAGUAGGGCGGGACACGUGGUAUCCUGUCUGAAUAUGGGGGGACCAUCCUCCAAGGCUAAAUACUCCUGACUGACCGAUAGUGAACCAGUACCGUGAGGGAAAGGCGAAAAGAACCCCGGCGAGGGGAGUGAAAAAGAACCUGAAACCGUGUACGUACAAGCAGUGGGAGCCUCUUUUAUGGGGUGACUGCGUACCUUUUGUAUAAUGGGUCAGCGACUUAUAUUCUGUAGCAAGGUUAACCGAAUAGGGGAGCCGAAGGGAAACCGAGUCUUAACYGGGCGUUAARUUGCAGGGUAUAGACCCGAAACCCGGUGAUCUAGCCAUGGGCAGGUUGAAGGUUGGGUAACACUAACUGGAGGACCGAACCGACUAAUGUUGAAAAAUUAGCGGAUGACUUGUGGCUGGGGGUGAAAGGCCAAUCAAACCGGGAGAUAGCUGGUUCUCCCCGAAAGCUAUUUAGGUAGCGCCUCGUGAAUUCAUCUCCGGGGGUAGAGCACUGUUUCGGCAAGGGGGUCAUCCCGACUUACCAACCCGAUGCAAACUGCGAAUACCGGAGAAUGUUAUCACGGGAGACACACGGCGGGUGCUAACGUCCGUCGUGAAGAGGGAAACAACCCAGACCGCCAGNUAAGGUCCCAAAGUCAUGGUUAAGUGGGAAACGAUGUGGGAAGGCCCAGACAGCCAGGAUGUUGGCUUAGAAGCAGCCAUCAUUUAAAGAAAGCGUAAUAGCUCACUGGUCGAGUCGGCCUGCGCGGAAGAUGUAACGGGGUUAAACCAUGCACCGAAGCUGCGGCAGCGACACUGUGUGUUGUUGGGUAGGGGAGCGUUCUGUAAGCCUGUGAAGGUGURCUGURAGGYAUGMUGGAGGUAUCAGAAGUGCGAAUGCUGACAUAAGUAACGAUAAAGCGGGUGAAAAGCCCGCUCGCCGGAAGACCAAGGGUUCCUGUCCAACGUUAAUCGGGGCAGGGUGAGUCGACCCCUAAGGCGAGGCCGAAAGGCGUAGUCGAUGGGAAACAGGUUAAUAUUCCUGUACUUGGUGUUACUGCGAAGGGGGGACGGAGAAGGCUAUGUUGGCCGGGCGACGGUUGUCCCGGUUUAAGCGUGUAGGCUGGUUUUCCAGGCAAAUCCGGAAAAUCAAGGCUGAGGCGUGAUGACGAGGCACUACGGUGCUGAAGCAACAAAUGCCCUGCUUCCAGGAAAAGCCUCUAAGCAUCAGGUAACAUCAAAUCGUACCCCAAACCGACACAGGUGGUCAGGUAGAGAAUACCAAGGCGCUUGAGAGAACUCGGGUGAAGGAACUAGGCAAAAUGGUGCCGUAACUUCGGGAGAAGGCACGCUGAUAUGUAGGUGAAGUCCCUCGCGGAUGGAGCUGAAAUCAGUCGAAGAUACCAGCUGGCUGCAACUGUUUAUUAAAAACACAGCACUGUGCAAACACGAAAGUGGACGUAUACGGUGUGACGCCUGCCCGGUGCCGGAAGGUUAAUUGAUGGGGUCWGCGCAAGCGAAGCUCUUGAUCGAAGCCCCGGUAAACGGCGGCCGUAACUAUAACGGUCCUAAGGUAGCGAAAUUCCUUGUCGGGUAAGUUCCGACCUGCACGAAUGGCGUAAUGAUGGCCAGGCUGUCUCCACCCGAGACUCAGUGAAAUUGAACUCGCUGUGAANAUGCAGUGUACCCGCGGCAAGACGGAAAGACCCCGUGAACCUUUACUAUAGCUUGACACUGAACAUUGAGCCUUGAUGUGUAGGAUAGGUGGGANGCUUUGAAGUGUGGACGCCAGUCUGCAUGGANCCGACCUUGAAAUACCACCCUNUAAUGUUUGAUGUUCUAACGUGGACCCGUGAUCCGGGUUGCGGACAGUGUCUGGUGGGUAGUUUGACUGGGGCGGUCUCCUCCUAAAGAGUAACGGAGGAGCACGAAGGUUGGCUAAUCCUGGUCGGACAUCAGGAGGUUAGUGCAAUGGCAUAAGCCAGCUUGACUGCGAGCGUGACGGCGCGAGCAGGUGCGAAAGCAGGUCAUAGUGAUCCGGUGGUUCUGAAUGGAAGGGCCAUCGCUCAACGGAUAAAAGGUACUCCGGGGAUAACAGGCUGAUACCGCCCAAGAGUUCAUAUCGACGGCGGUGUUUGGCACCUCGAUGUCGGCUCAUCACAUCCUGGGGCUGAAGUAGGUCCCAAGGGUAUGGCUGUUCGCCAUUUAAAGUGGUACGCGAGCUGGGUUUAGAACGUCGUGAGACAGUUCGGUCCCUAUCUGCCGUGGGCGCUGGAGAACUGAGGGGGGCUGCUCCUAGUACGAGAGGACCGGAGUGGACGCAUCACUGGUGUUCGGGUUGUCAUGCCAAUGGCACUGCCCGGUAGCUAAAUGCGGAAGAGAUAAGUGCUGAAAGCAUCUAAGCACGAAACUUGCCCCGAGAUGAGUUCUCCCUGACCCUUUAAGGGUCCUGAAGGAACGUUGAAGACGACGACGUUGAUAGGCCGGGUGUGUAAGCGCAGCGAUGCGUUGAGCUAACCGGUACUAAUGAACCGUGAGGCUUAACCUU